This 486-nucleotide ribosomal RNA is filed under the name Polystilifera sp. Hoplo_CB108_CB107_18_05. RNAcentral's name for it is "partial 16S ribosomal RNA". It matches the Rfam family "Bacterial large subunit ribosomal RNA", at positions 1817 to 2597 of the family's 2925-position model. The record is from RNAcentral. RNAcentral also lists the same sequence under 2 other names. Lineage: Eukaryota; Metazoa; Nemertea; Enopla; Polystilifera.
AGUUUCUUGUAGUUUUUAUAAGAAAUGUUUUCUGCUCGGUGAUUUUAAACAGCCGCGGUAAUUUGACCGUGCAAAGGUAGCGUGAUCAUUUGCCUUGUAAUUUGAGGCUUGUAUGAAUGGGAGGACAGAGGAACGGCUUUCUUUCUUUUUUCGAUAGAACUUGUUUUUUUCGUGAAGAAACGGGAAUGUAGUAAAGGGACAAGAAGACCCUUUUGAGCUUUAUUUUAUUUUAUUUUUCUGUGUUUGGGGAAGUUUGGAAUUUGGUUGGGGCGACCGAGGAAGAGUGGAUCUUCCUUUGAUGUUUUAGUUAUUUUGGAUUUUUGAUCCUUGGUUUUUGAUUGAAAGAUUAAGUUACCAAAGGGAUAACAGCGUAAUUUUUUCUGUGAGUUCUUAUUAAAGAAGAAGAUUGCGACCUCGAUGUUGACUUUUUAAUUUCCUUUUGGUGUAGCAGCUAUUUGGGAGGGUCUGUUCGACCUUUGAAUUAUA